UACUCAUUUUAUUAGGUCUUAGUUGUUGGU
RNAcentral lists this non-coding RNA (30 nucleotides) under Rattus norvegicus (Norway rat). Lineage: Eukaryota; Metazoa; Chordata; Mammalia; Rodentia; Muridae. The record is from RNAcentral.